AAAUUGAAGAGUUUGAUCAUGGCUCAGAUUGAACGCUGGCGGCAGGCCUAACACAUGCAAGUCGAACGGUAACAGGAAGCAGCUUGCUGUUUCGCUGACGAGUGGCGGACGGGUGAGUAAUGUCUGGGAAACUGCCUGAUGGAGGGGGAUAACUACUGGAAACGGUAGCUAAUACCGCAUAACGUCGCAAGACCAAAGAGGGGGACCUUCGGGCCUCUUGCCAUCGGAUGUGCCCAGAUGGGAUUAGCUAGUAGGUGGGGUAACGGCUCACC
RNAcentral lists this ribosomal RNA (272 nucleotides) under Escherichia coli. RNAcentral's name for it is "partial 16S ribosomal RNA". It matches the Rfam family "Bacterial small subunit ribosomal RNA", at positions 1 to 269 of the family's 1533-position model. Lineage: Bacteria; Pseudomonadati; Pseudomonadota; Gammaproteobacteria; Enterobacterales; Enterobacteriaceae. RNAcentral also lists the same sequence under 4 other names. The record is from RNAcentral.